This 486-nucleotide ribosomal RNA is filed under the name uncultured bacterium. Its description in RNAcentral is "bacterial SSU rRNA". It matches the Rfam family "Bacterial small subunit ribosomal RNA", at positions 791 to 1277 of the family's 1533-position model. The record is from RNAcentral.
UAGUCCACGCCCUAAACGAUGAUUACUCGAUGUGUGCAAUACACCGUACGCGGCCAAGCGAAAGUGAUAAGUAUCCCACCUGGGGAGUACGUUCGCAAGAAUGAAACUCAAAGGAAUUGACGGGGGCCCGCACAAGCGGUGGAGCAUGUGGUUUAAUUCGAUGAUACGCGAGGAACCUUACCAGGGCUUAAAUGCAUUACGACAGGUCUAGAGAUAGAUUUUCCUUCGGGCGUUUUGCAAGGUGCUGCAUGGUUGUCGUCAGCUCGUGCCGUGAGGUGUCAGGUUAAGUCCUAUAACGAGCGCAACCCCUGCCGUUAGUUGCCAGCAUGUAAUGAUGGGGACUCUAACGGGACUGCCGGUGCAAACCGUGAGGAAGGGUGGGGACGACGUCAAAUCAUCACGGGUCCUUACGUCCUGGGGCCACACACGUGCUACAAUGGCCGAUACCAGCGGGGAAGCCAUGCGGUAACGCAGAGCGGGAUCCAC